Molecule: long non-coding RNA, 2176 nt
Organism: Numida meleagris (helmeted guineafowl)
Lineage: Eukaryota; Metazoa; Chordata; Aves; Galliformes; Numididae
Exons: 4
Source: RefSeq, a predicted model, not a curated record
UGAAAGGCAGUCACUACAUGCAUGUCGUACAAAAAACAUAAAUUGCUUGUUAAAAACAUGAGUUGAAGUCCUUCCUUUGUUCUGCCACAGACUCCUUGUACCUGUCUCUGUACCACUGUCCCUUCUGCAAUUAGAAAUGUUUGUAGGCAGUCACUAAUUCCUAGGAGUUGAAAAUGGCCUGCUGGAAUGAUCUGGUGCCUACUUGCCUUCUAGGCCCUGCCAGGCCUUUUCUCAGGAAAGCUGUGCCUGGAAACUUCCUAACAAACAGCGAACAUCCUCAGAGCUGUUAGUAGGAGGGAUGCUCUGUGGUAGUGACCGUAUCACUGUUAAGUUUAACACUGUGGUAAGGGGAAAGUAGGUUGUAUAGGUUCAGUGUGUGCAUACUCGAAUUUGAGGAAGGGAAUUGGAAGAACUGUGGGACAUUUUCACCACAGAUUCAGCAUGGAGAAUCAGACAGAAAUGAAUCUGUGCUGAACUCAGUAAGUUGGGAGGGCACGGGCUGAUAGGGCCUGGUGCAGGUGGAGCCCUGAGGUGGGCCUGGGCUCCGCGGCCCUGUCGGUGCUCGGGGCCUCGCCAGUUGAGUGAAAGCCAUUCUUGUGUUGUGCUGUGCUGCAAGGAGGAAGGGAGAGCAGAAUUUGGCUCAGGUGCAUCUGCAUCUGGGGAUAGAGGAGGCAGCCCAGAGGACUGGAAAAGAAUUUGGGCCUGAAUCUUGCACCACAGAUACUGCAGAGAAUUAGCUCUGACGGUCUCUGGAGGAACUUGAGAAGUGUGGAGGUUGGAAAUGAAUCAGUUAUGCAUCAGCCACAUUUUAUACUCUUGUCCUGAGACUAAAGCAGUUAUGGUCUGGGCUCCUGGUUCCAGAACUACAGUGAUGUGUUCCAAGUCUACAAUGGAGACAUCUUGGGAAUACUUACAAAGAACUCAGUCCAAACCUCACCCCACCGCACACAUCCACAGUGGCAUGAGGGAAAAGGUGAAGGAGCUUUGCCUGUGGGAAAUGGGAAGCAGAGUCCGUGUCGACAGGGAUGUAGCAUGCCAGCUUCCAAAGCAGCAUCCAUUUCACUCUCCUGAAGGCUUCCGGAAAAUUUUGCCACAUAAGCUUUAUUGUGUAUGAUCCCAUUCAAGGUGUAAAGUAAAUAUAUAAUUAAUAAGUGUAACUAAUCAGCAGAAUACUGUUUUGAGUCUUGGGAAUGAAAUUUUCUUCUCUCUAUCUCACUGUUUAGUUUAUGCAUCAUGCUGUAUCACCCAGGCACUCCUCUGAAGGAGCAGGGCUGCAUGUGUCAAAGAGCAGGCUCAGCCUCAGCAAGGGGGCAAGAAUCAGGCUGCUGUGAGUUCACUCCAGUCACAGCCAGUUAGUCCCUGUUAAAUCAUCUCUAACUAUGGAGACAAUGAGGAAUUCUGUGGGAGAAAAACUUUCAGCUGUGCCUCAAUUCCUGCAGAGAGCAGGAUUUAAUGCUUUCAGUUGGAAGGUCACCCACGUAUUUUCCCGAGUGCAUACAUCAGCUGGUUUGGAAGACAGCACUUUACUAAUUGUUAGUGAUUGUCCUCCUUGCAGGACUAGCUGUUAUAUAGAGCUCAGCUUGUUCUUCAGUUUGAUCUGAUUAGUUCACAUUCAUUCUAUGUCCUACUCACCAGCGUGUCAACUUAGAGCACUGAUUCAUUUAAGUCAAAAUUGGUCAUCAUAUUUAUUUAACUACUAAGUUAUUUUCCAUAGUAAAUCCAUAAUACUUGGCUAGUAUUGGCAGAAAAUUUGUUAACCUAAUUGAAAGUGACACACAUUUUAGGCUUACAGUCUUAGUAGGAAUGUAUAAUAUGUUAAGGAGUAAGGUCUUUAAGGAAAUUAUUGACCUGGAUCACACUCGUUCCUAUACUGUAACUUCCUAUCUAUCAAAUGAAAACAUCAAAAACAAACACACCCACAGUUCAGAGCUACUAGUCCAGGCAAACUACAACUAACUUCUUUUAACAUGGAUAAGAAAAAAUGUUUUAAUAUUUUAUGUCAACAUUUCCCAUAGGCUGCUUCUUCCUGUAUUUAAUAUAUAUGAAUGGCGUUUUCCCUCUUGUUUCUCUUGGAGUGCUGAACUUUACUGUCACUUCCACAAAGAAAGGUUAUUUUUAUUUAUUGAGUACUUUAUAUAGAAACAGGAUAUUUAUACUUGUAUAUAUCUAUAUCUUA